Molecule: ribosomal RNA, 420 nt
Filed under: uncultured bacterium
Lineage: Bacteria
Description: partial 16S ribosomal RNA
Rfam family: Bacterial small subunit ribosomal RNA
Source: RNAcentral
AGAUUUCGCAAUGGCCGAAAGGCUGACGCAGCGACGCCGUGCGCGGGCGGGCGCUCGUCGGGGUGUAAACCGCUGUCAGGGUGGAAGAAUGUCCCGGGGAGGACGUGCCGCGGGGUUGACGGUACAUACAGAGGAAGCACGGGCUAACUCCGUGCCAGCCGCCGCGGUAAUCCGGGGGGUGCGAGCGUUGUUCGGAAUCUUUGGGCGUAAAGCGCGGCUAGGCGGGUCGGUAAGUCUCUUGGGAAAGCCCGGGGCUCAACCCCGGGAGGCCAGGGGCUAAUGUCGGGCUGUAGACAGGCAGAGGCUGGUGGAAUUCCGUGUGUAGCGGUGGAAUGCGUAGGGAUCCGGAGGAACAUCGGUGGCGAAGGCGGCCGGCUGGGCCUGUUCUGACGCUGAGGCGCGAAAGCGUGGGGAGCGAAC